Molecule: non-coding RNA, 198 nt
Organism: Vicia faba (fava bean)
Lineage: Eukaryota; Viridiplantae; Streptophyta; Magnoliopsida; Fabales; Fabaceae
Source: the annotation of a GenBank genome assembly
AUGUUUAAGCUCAGCAACAACCAAAGCCUCAUAAAUGGUUUUGUUUCACAAAAUCAGAUUCAAGUGUUCACAAAAAUAACAUCACGAUUCAGCAAGUAUGCAAAGUUCACGGUUCUGUCAAAACAAGAAAGCAUAGCAGAAAAUUGUGCAGCCCAAACAACAAACAGAAACAUACUGCUAUUCAAGAACUAUUCGUAA